RNAcentral lists this ribosomal RNA (253 nucleotides) under uncultured bacterium. RNAcentral describes it as "partial 16S ribosomal RNA". It matches the Rfam family "Bacterial small subunit ribosomal RNA", at positions 524 to 776 of the family's 1533-position model. The record is from RNAcentral.
UACGGGGGGGGCAAGCGUUGUUCGGAAUCACUGGGCGUAAAGCGCACGUAGGCGGAUUGUUAAGUCGGGGGUGAAAUCCUGGAGCUCAACUCCAGAACUGCCUUCGAUACUGGCGAUCUUGAGUCCGGGAGAGGUGAGUGGAACUCCGAGUGUAGAGGUGAAAUUCGUAGAUAUUCGGAAGAACACCAGUGGCGAAGGCGGCUCACUGGCCCGGUACUGACGCUGAGGUGCGAAAGCGUGGGGAGCAAACAGG